This 114-nucleotide non-coding RNA is filed under the name Geobacillus sp. RNAcentral's name for it is "SAM-I sequence". It matches the Rfam family "SAM riboswitch aptamer (S box leader)". Rfam says of the family: The SAM riboswitch is found upstream of a number of genes which code for proteins involved in methionine or cysteine biosynthesis in Gram-positive bacteria. Lineage: Bacteria; Bacillati; Bacillota; Bacilli; Caryophanales; Anoxybacillaceae. The record is from RNAcentral.
UUCUUAUCAAGAGAAGUGGAGGGAACUGGCCCUAUGAAGCUUCAGCAACCAGCCAAACGUUUGGCCAGGUGCUAAAUCCAGCGAAUUGAAUUUUUUCAAUUCGGCAGAUAAGAA